Molecule: ribosomal RNA, 467 nt
Filed under: uncultured bacterium
Lineage: Bacteria
Description: partial 16S ribosomal RNA
Rfam family: Bacterial small subunit ribosomal RNA
Source: RNAcentral
GACGAACGCUGGCGGCGUGCUUAACACAUGCAAGUCGAACGGAAAGGCCUCUUUCGGGGGGUACUCGAGUGGCGAACGGGUGAGUAACACGUGAGUAACCUGCCCUUGACUUUGGGAUAACUUCAGGAAACUGAGGCUAAUACCGGAUAGGAGCUCCUGCUGCAUGGUGGGGGUUGGAAAGUUUCGGCGGUUGGGGAUGGACUCGCGGCUUAUCAGCUUGUUGGUGGGGUAGUGGCUUACCAAGGCUUUGACGGGUAGCCGGCCUGAGAGGGUGACCGGCCACAUUGGGACUGAGAUACGGCCCAGACUCCUACGGGAGGCAGCAGUGGGGAAUAUUGCACAAUGGGUGGAAGCCUGAUGCAGCAACGCCGUGUGCGGGAUGACGGCCUUCGGGUUGUAAACCGCUUUCGCUCAUGACGAAGCUUUGUGUGACGGUAGUGGGUAAAGAAGCACCGGCUAACUACGUG